Molecule: ribosomal RNA, 471 nt
Filed under: Triticum aestivum (bread wheat)
Lineage: Eukaryota; Viridiplantae; Streptophyta; Magnoliopsida; Poales; Poaceae
Description: partial small subunit ribosomal RNA
Source: RNAcentral
AUGAAUGUCCUAAGCUGGAACUACCGGGGAGGGGGGAAUACUCGGACAGUUCGUGAGUUAGCGACUAUCUGUCAGUCGCAUUCCCCCAGCAUGGUGUUUUUGUGUGAAACAAGACAGAGAGCUGACAAAAUGAAGAAGGUGCGGGGGAGGAUUGGUUUGAAGGGUUUUGCAGGAGUUGAUAGUAAUGGGAUGAGCGGUGGUCUUGCGCUUUAUUGGCAUGAGAGUUACGAUGUGGAGAUUCUGGACAAAGAAGAGCAUUUUAUUGAUGCACUAGUCCGUGUCCAGGAGGGGGCGGCCCAAUGGAGGAUCACAUGUAUAUAUGGUGAACCACGUGUUGAGAACAGGCACAUCAUGUGGUCCAAACUUGAGCAACUAAAAGUCGUGAAUGAUCUACCUUGGCUUGUCGUGGGUGAUUUCAAUGAGGCCAUGUGGGGAUUUGAGCAUUUAUCAGCUACGCCAUGGGGAGAGUGA